Long non-coding RNA from Cataglyphis hispanica, 676 nucleotides. RefSeq lists it as uncharacterized. Lineage: Eukaryota; Metazoa; Arthropoda; Insecta; Hymenoptera; Formicidae. The transcript is spliced from 3 exons. The record is from RefSeq and is a predicted model, not a curated record.
GAAGAGAAAAUGAGAGAGAGAGAGAGAGAGAGAGAGAGAGAGAAAGAGAGAGAGAGAAUGAGAAUAAGAUAAUAAAUCGGAGUCUUUAGAGCUCCAAAUUCUUCCUACUUUCCUUUCCUACUCCCGAGGACAUUUUUAGAUCAAUGAAUGUUGUCAAUGUACGCGUCGCUUUAGAUUCGCUUUUCGCGGAUCGAUCGAGUAAGCUUGAUUCAUACGACUCGUAUAGCCAUCGUCAGAAAAUAGGCCGAAUCAAUAAAACAUUGUGCUAUAUAAUUUUGCCAUUUCAACAUACUUUAUGUUUUAUGGUAAAUAUAUUACACAGCAUUCUCUUUCAGAACACGGAUAUUUUAAGGUUGCUGCAACGUUUUCGAAAACGUUACAGUAACAUCGCGGAAUGUAUUUGCAAUCAUUGCAAAAUAUAUAUCCUUGCAAUGCAUAAUCUUUCAUAUGGAUAAUCGAUUUUGACGAUAAUUGUGCUGAUUAGUGUGAAUCAGACUUGAAUCGUCGAGACGCGAAUCGAGGAAUUCGAAAGGGAGGGAUUCGCGGAGAUGCUUAAUGAAUCGACGAUAAUAAUCACCGGUCAUUUUGUCAUUGAUUUAUGCGCUGCUGACUGAGUUUGAAGGUCGGAAAACUUUGAUGUUUCGAAAUAAAAGUAAGGUUCGAACGUUGUACUUUA